GGAUUCCCCUAGUAACUGCGAGUGAAGCGGGAAAAGCUCAAAUUUAAAAUCUGGCAGUCUCUGGCUGUCCGAGUUGUAAUCUAGAGAAGUAAUGCCCGUGCUGGACCGUGUAUAAGUCUCCUGGGAUGGGGCGUCAUAGAGGGUGAGAAUCCCGUCUUUGACACGGACUACCAGUGCAUUGUGGUAUGCUCUCAAAGAGUCGAGUUGUUUGGGAAUGCAGCUCAAAAUGGGUGGUAAAUUCCAUCUAAAGCUAAAUAYUGGCGAGAGACCGAUAGCGAACAAGUACCGUGAGGGAAAGAUGAAAAGAACUUUGGAAAGAGAGUUAAACAGUACGUGAAAUUGCUGAAAGGGAAACGCUUGAAGUCAGUCGCGUUGGCCGGGAAUCAGCCUUGCUUUUGCAUGGUGUACUUUCUGGUUGAUGGGUCAGCAUCAAUUUUGACUGCUGGAAAAAGUCCUGGGGAAUGUGGCAGCUCCGGCUGUGUUAUAGCCCCUAGUCGCAUACAGUGGUUGGGAUUGAGGAACUCAGCACGCCGCAAGGCCGGGUUUCGACCACGUUCGUGCUUAGGAUGCUGGCAUAAUGGCUUUAAGCGACCCGUCUUGAAACACGGACCAAGGAGUCUAACAUGCCUGCGAGUAUUUGGGUGGAAAACCCAAGUGCGUAAUGAAAGUGAAAGUUGAGAUCCCUGUCGUGGGGAGCAUCGACGCCCGGACCAGAACUUUUGGGACGGAUCCGCGGUGGAGCAUGUAUGUUGGGACCCGAAAGAUGGUGAACUAUGCCUGAAUAGGGUGAAGCCAGAGGAAACUCUGGUGGAGGCUCGUAGCGAUUCUGACGUGCAAAUCGAUCGUCAAAUUUGGGUAUAGGGGCGAAAGACUAAUCG
RNAcentral lists this ribosomal RNA (878 nucleotides) under Agaricus megalosporus. RNAcentral describes it as "eukaryotic LSU rRNA". It matches the Rfam family "Eukaryotic large subunit ribosomal RNA", at positions 72 to 937 of the family's 3401-position model. Lineage: Eukaryota; Fungi; Basidiomycota; Agaricomycetes; Agaricales; Agaricaceae. The record is from RNAcentral.